Molecule: ribosomal RNA, 253 nt
Filed under: uncultured Acetivibrio sp.
Lineage: Bacteria; Bacillati; Bacillota; Clostridia; Acetivibrionales; Acetivibrionaceae
Description: partial 16S ribosomal RNA
Rfam family: Bacterial small subunit ribosomal RNA
Source: RNAcentral
UACGUAGGUGGCAAGCGUUAUCCGGAAUUACUGGGUGUAAAGGGCGUGUAGGCGGGGAGACAAGUCAGAUGUGAAAUUCCGGGGCUCAACCCCGGCGCUGCAUCUGAAACUGUUUCUCUUGAGUACUGGAGAGGAAAGUGGAAUUCCUAGUGUAGCGGUGAAAUGCGUAGAGAUUAGGAGGAACACCAGUGGCGAAGGCGGCUUUCUGGACAGUAACUGACGCUGAGGCGCGAAAGUGUGGGGAGCGAACAGG